This 1492-nucleotide long non-coding RNA is filed under the name Oryctolagus cuniculus (rabbit). Its description in RNAcentral is "lncRNA (ENSOCUG00000030718.1)". The record is from RNAcentral. Lineage: Eukaryota; Metazoa; Chordata; Mammalia; Lagomorpha; Leporidae.
AUGUAUUCAUGCAACAAAUGUAUAUGGAUUACACAUUGUGUCAGAGGCCCCGGGGUGAAGCCGAAACAAUGGGCAGGCAGCCACACUGCCUUGCAGACAGAGACACACAGGGGAGGGGCUGAGCCCAGCGCGGGGAGGGGGGAGGUUGGGAGAGACUUCUGGGGUCUUUUCUACGCUGAGAUUAGAGUUGAUGGAUUGAGGGCACGAGGACAGAAGGAAUGGAUGAUCUUCCAAGCAGAGCGAGUAAUACUUUGCAGAGAUCCUCAGCUAACCGAAAGCCGUGCACAGAAGGAGAUAAACGCAAUGGACGUGCCUGUGAGGUGGGCAUUGUCAACAGAGAAGCCAGGGAGUAAACCCAGAUCAGAUAACGAAGGUCUUUACAGAACACUGGGAGUGACUUCGGGAUCUGCACACCAGCAGGUUGCACUGUGGGGAUUGAGGGCACCCCUUUGUUCUUGCCUGGACUCUGCUUCUAUCUGGGAGGCCAAUUAGCACAAGUGCUGAGUCACAGGAGAAACCAGGCAAGCCGGUGAGAUCUACACGCGCCUAAGAAUUUCUGCAGAGGGAAGUCUGAAGAAAUGAGCGAAGAGGAUGCUUCGAUGCUUCUGAGUCACAGGACAAGCAGCGUGUGAAGCAGAGACAAGAUAAUGUUCCUCUGGCCAGGCUGGUGGCAUCCAGGGAGGUGACCGAGAGAGAGUGGGAAGGGGAGGUUAAGACCCAGCGGAAGACAAGGGAGACUCCCGGGGUCCUCCCAGCCUGGGAUGGGCUGCCCGCCUCUCUCAAGCAUCCGCUGGCUGCAGGUGGAAACAGGCCACGCUGUUCUGCUUGAAAUUACAUUUCCGUGAGUGAUUUCAGCUGGAAAUAACCAAUAUCCCAAGUUGUCCUGUUUUGCUUAACUCUUUCACCUGCAUUAUUUUUAGUUCUUUGAAAGAAAGAGAGCAAACACACACAGAGAGAGAGAGAGAGAGAGAGAGAGCGCGCUCCCAUCUGCUGGUUUCCUCCCCAGAUGCCCGCAACAGGUGUGACUGGGCGACGGCUGACACCAGCAACCAGGGAUUUAACCCAGGUCUCCCUGGCUGCUGGGAGCUCGGUCACCUGUUGCCUGCCAGGGUUGACGUCAGCAAGAAACCGAAGUCGCGAGCCAGAGCCAGGAGUCAAACCCCAGUGCUGUCGUUGGAGCAGCAGUCACCGUGACGGGAAUCUUCUAGGCUCGACCCCCAGCUCACCUGUGUUACUAAACUGAUGGAGUGAGAAAUGAAGGAGACCUUGAAGUACAGUCGGCACGUUGGCCGUGCGCAUUUCAAUAACAAACGGAGGCCAACAAAUUCUCUGAGAGUGUGUUGAAAAUGCCACUGGGGAACGGUUUAGGAAUUUUCGAUUAAGAAGACUUGAGGUCUUAUGGCCACAGGGUAUUUGCUCUGGAUCUCCUUGUAUUUGGUGGUUGAUGUAACUUAUCAAUAUUUUUUGAGUAUCAGAAGUACGUGUAAUCUUA